CCUCUUCACCUAGGAGUACCAUCGGGAACUGCCACAACGAUUUCUGAGCCUAUGGUGCACUGGGCACAAACCAUGCAACUAUCUUGCACCAAAACUAAUACUAUCUCCAACUGGACCAAAGCGAGAUUCCAUAUGAUACACUUCAUCUAGUAGUUCCAUCGGGCGUGUCCAAAUUGAUUUCUGAGCAUAUACUAUGUUCCAUGCAAACCGUGCCCCUAUCUUGCAUCAAGAUUAGAACUAUCUCCAAACACACAGAACCAAGAUUCCACAUGAGCCUCUUCACCAAGGAGUACCAUCACGUGCGUCCAAAAUAGUUUCUUAGCCUAUG
This 328-nucleotide long non-coding RNA is filed under the name Sorghum bicolor (sorghum). RNAcentral describes it as "long non-coding RNA (SBIC_LNC018532)". The record is from RNAcentral. Lineage: Eukaryota; Viridiplantae; Streptophyta; Magnoliopsida; Poales; Poaceae.